Molecule: transfer RNA, 73 nt
Filed under: Camelus bactrianus (Bactrian camel)
Lineage: Eukaryota; Metazoa; Chordata; Mammalia; Artiodactyla; Camelidae
Also listed under: 2 other names
Rfam family: tRNA
About the family: Transfer RNA (tRNA) molecules are approximately 80 nucleotides in length. Their secondary structure includes four short double-helical elements and three loops (D, anti-codon, and T loops).
Source: Rfam by way of RNAcentral
GAGGGUGUAGUUCAACUGAUAGAGUGCAUGCUUCAAAUGCACAGGAUCCUGGGUUCAAUUCCCAGUACCUCCU